AGAAGAGUCCACUUCUUUUUCAGUUUGUGGUGGUGACAAAAAACUAUACUGCACAGACAAGAGGUGACUUCAUCUGGCAUCUAUUUUAAAAAAGGAAAAAAUCUCCCCCAAAAACAGAUCUAAGACGCAUUUGACGGUUGAACACCCUAGCACUUUUUAGGGCCCUGCCAAACACCAGCGCUAGCCUUGAGACUCAUCAGUAACAGUCAUCUGCAGGAUUCACGCGGCCCGUUCCAGCUGCCCAGCCAGGAUAAAGCUAAGACCUUUCUAAGUUAGAGGGAAGAAAAUAUGCAAAACCACUAACAGGGGAAGAUCAUAGCUUACUUGGGAAACUAGUAGCAGCAGGUCUUUCUGCACUGUCCUGCAAAAUGAACCAGUUAAUUAAGAGCCCGAGAAGAAGCCCUCAACACA
RNAcentral lists this long non-coding RNA (411 nucleotides) under Canis lupus familiaris (dog). RNAcentral's name for it is "lncRNA (ENSCAFG00845006397.1)". The record is from RNAcentral. Lineage: Eukaryota; Metazoa; Chordata; Mammalia; Carnivora; Canidae.